This 253-nucleotide ribosomal RNA is filed under the name uncultured bacterium. RNAcentral describes it as "partial 16S ribosomal RNA". It matches the Rfam family "Bacterial small subunit ribosomal RNA", at positions 524 to 776 of the family's 1533-position model. The record is from RNAcentral.
UACGUAGGGGGCAAGCGUUAUCCGGAUUUACUGGGUGUAAAGGGAGCGUAGACGGCGAUGCAAGUCUGAAGUGAAAGGCGGGGGCCCAACCCCCGGACUGCUUUGGAAACUGUAUGGCUGGAGUGCAGGAGAGGUAAGUGGAAUUCCUAGUGUAGCGGUGAAAUGCGUAGAUAUUAGGAGGAACACCAGUGGCGAAGGCGGCUCUCUGGCCUGUAACUGACACUGAGGCUCGAAAGCGUGGGGAGCAAACAGG